This is a long non-coding RNA of Lemur catta (Ring-tailed lemur), 1239 nucleotides long. RefSeq lists it as uncharacterized. The record is from RefSeq and is a predicted model, not a curated record. The transcript has 4 exons. Lineage: Eukaryota; Metazoa; Chordata; Mammalia; Primates; Lemuridae.
UCUAAAUCCUAAAUCCACCCUCCGGGUCAUAAAAUACUCUUGUUUCUCUCCAGUCUAGUAUUUCCUUCACGGAAUCUCCAAGGCACCCGAUUUGCCUCUUUUGCGGAACACACGGCCUCCUACCUAGUGGUGGACCCGCCAUCCAUUCAUCUAGUCAUUUAAUGCCCAUCCCAUCAUUUAACAGUCAUUUGCUGAAUGCCUUCUGUGUGCCAGCUGCAGUGCCUGCCCCAGGGAGCUCACCUCCCAACGUGGAAGACAGAAGACAGGUCAUUAUAACAAGAUAGCCACUGCCACAAGAUUGAAGGUUUUUCUGAAGGCACUGGAGAGGCGUUAAAGGAUUUUAAAGAGGCAAAGUGGCGAUGAGAGCAAACAGACAUUCUGAAGACUGUUCUUGGAGCAACAUGGAGGACAUUUGGAUCUAGAAGACCCUCUCCAAGUUUAAGAAGCUACAUCCCAAAGAUAACAUGAGAAACUACUGAUUUAAAGAAUCCCAAUCAUACCUGACACAUCUCAAGGCUCAUUCAAUGAGGAAGAAAAUGGCAACACGAACUAUCAAAAUGUCUCUUAAGACAGCUGAGCCUUGGGGGAAGUGCUCACUGAAGUCUGACUUCUUCCUGGGAGAAGAAUGCUUCUUAUUUUCUUUCUUCCACAAACAGGAGAUUAAUGGACCUCUCACUGCUGGGAAUAUUUGCACCUGUAAUGAUGAAAACUGAGCCGCAUCCAUAUUUCCUGUAAAAUGACACUUCACUUUGUGCAGAGAAUGCAGAGAUUUUGUAACUGUUGGUGUCAGAGGAAGCAGACAGAGCUGUGGAAGGACUAGAGGAGCAUCCUGUUGGGGUGGGGCCUUGGUGGGGAGACAAAAUUGCCUCUUGGAUUCUGCCCUGCUUGUGUGCAUUAUACCGGAGAGACCUGGCAUGGUCUGGUUUGAAUCCUGGCUCUGCUACCUACUCACUAGAGGACUUUGGAUAGUUGUGUAACCUCCCUUAGCCUCUUUUAAUCUCCUUAUCUGCAAAAUGGUCUCCUUAGAGAGUGCAGCUGAGAGCAUCAGUGUGAAGACCAGAUGGCCACUGAACUGCUUGUCCUGGAUUUCCAGGCCACCACCACCUGCUGCUCCCUCCCACCUCUUCCUGCCCCGGUCUCAGAACCCACCACAUGCGGCUCACUGCUAUGCAACCACCCACAAGGGUCCUCACCGAUCGCUCCACUUGAGAGGAAUCCCUGCCCACCAUGCUGAUGGAG